UACGGAGGGUGCAAACGUUGCUCGGAAUCAUUGGGCGUAAAGCGCACGUAGGCGGUCUGAUAAGUCGGAUGUGAAAGCCCUGGGCUCAACCCAGGAAGAGCAUUCGAAACUGGCAGGCUCGAGUAUGGAAGAGGGUCGCGGAAUUCCCGGUGUAGAGGUGAAAUUCGUAGAUAUCGGGAGGAACACCAGUGGCGAAGGCGGCGACCUGGGCCAAUACUGACGCUGAGGUGCGAAAGCGUGGGGAGCAAACAGG
This 253-nucleotide ribosomal RNA is filed under the name uncultured bacterium. RNAcentral's name for it is "partial 16S ribosomal RNA". It matches the Rfam family "Bacterial small subunit ribosomal RNA", at positions 524 to 776 of the family's 1533-position model. The record is from RNAcentral.